RNAcentral lists this long non-coding RNA (346 nucleotides) under Pogona vitticeps (central bearded dragon). RNAcentral's name for it is "lncRNA (ENSPVIG00000006966.1)". The record is from RNAcentral. Lineage: Eukaryota; Metazoa; Chordata; Lepidosauria; Squamata; Agamidae.
CACCCUUCAUUCAUGAAACUUUUUGGGUUAGAAGGGGGGGAAACCUAGAUCUACGAAAGAGGAUAGAGGAGCUCCUCCCUUUUUCUAGCCUUUUUUUUUUCUAAAAAGGAACCGGAAGUGGCGAGAGGGCGCGUCCGGUCUCUUCCCGACUCUGUGGUCUCCGGGGAAGGCGCUUGCAAGGGGGUCUCCUCGGGAGUUUCCGGCAUCAGGACCUGCAAGGAGAAGUGCUCUCUGAGAUUGCCAGUUCCCCUUUCUGAAUUGGGAGUGUGUCUCUUCAUCUGCUGGUGUUCUUUCAGGAGUUGACUUCGUAUUUCCUCAGUGGAAAAUGGGAUCUUCUGCAUCCAGG